UCGACUUUAGAAAUCAUGAGGGUUCAAGUCCCUCUAUCCCCAAAUCCCCCAAAAAGUCUUA
Molecule: transfer RNA, 61 nt
Filed under: Rhodiola chrysanthemifolia subsp. sacra
Lineage: Eukaryota; Viridiplantae; Streptophyta; Magnoliopsida; Saxifragales; Crassulaceae
Also listed under: 1 other name
Description: Rhodiola sacra partial tRNA-Leu
Source: RNAcentral